UACGUAGGGGGCAAGCGUUAUCCGGAUUUACUGGGUGUAAAGGGAGCGUAGACGGCAGAGCAAGUCUGAAGUGAAAGCCCGCGGCCCAACUGCGGGACUGCUUUGGAAACUGCCCGGCUAGAGUGCUGGAGAGGUAAGCGGAAUUCCUAGUGUAGCGGUGAAAUGCGUAGAUAUUAGGAGGAGCACCAGUGGCGAAGGCGGCUUACUGGACAGUAUCUGACGUUGAGGCUCGAAAGCGUGGGGAGCAAACAGG
Molecule: ribosomal RNA, 253 nt
Filed under: uncultured bacterium
Lineage: Bacteria
Description: partial 16S ribosomal RNA
Rfam family: Bacterial small subunit ribosomal RNA
Source: RNAcentral